RNAcentral lists this ribosomal RNA (621 nucleotides) under uncultured bacterium. RNAcentral describes it as "bacterial SSU rRNA". It matches the Rfam family "Bacterial small subunit ribosomal RNA", at positions 125 to 731 of the family's 1533-position model. The record is from RNAcentral.
UCUACCCAUGAGUGGGGAAUAACAUUCGGAAACGGAUGCUAAUACCGCAUAAGUUCUUUGACCUCCUGGUCUUUGAAUAAAAGACGGCCUUUGUGCUGUCUCUCAUGGAUGAUCCCGCGGCGUAUUAGUUAGUUGGUGAGGUAAUGGCUCACCAAGACCAUGAUACGUAGCCGACCUGAGAGGGUGAUCGGCCACACUGGGACUGAGAACGGCCCAGACUCCUACGGGAGGCAGCAGUAGGGAAUCUUCCACAAUGGGCGAAAGCCUGAUGGAGCAAUGCCGCGUGAAUGAAGAAGGUCUUCGGAUCGUAAAGUUCUGUUAUUAGAGAAGAAAAAAUCAAGGACUAACUAUCUUGAUUUUGACGGUACCUAACCAGAAAGUCACGGCUAACUACGUGCCAGCAGCCGCGGUAAUACGUAGGUGACGAGCGUUGUCCGGAAUUAUUGGGCGUAAAGGGAGCGCAGGCGGUUGGAACAGUCUGAUGUGAAAGCCCACGGCUUAACCGUGGAAGGUCAUUGGAAACUGUCCAACUUGAAUCCAGAAGAGGUAAGUGGAAUUCCAUGUGUAGCGGUGAAAUGCGUAAAUAUAUGGAGGAACACCAGUGGCGAAGGCGACUUACUG